GGCCUUAUAGUCAAUGAUGAUAUCAGACUGCAAUUCUGGAGGAGUAAAUAUUGAUUUACUAAGGCUU
RNAcentral lists this transfer RNA (67 nucleotides) under Isoperla bilineata. RNAcentral's name for it is "tRNA-Cys". The record is from RNAcentral. Lineage: Eukaryota; Metazoa; Arthropoda; Insecta; Plecoptera; Perlodidae.